Long non-coding RNA from Phocoena sinus (vaquita), 2339 nucleotides. The record is from Ensembl. NCBI's taxonomy places the organism in Eukaryota, Metazoa, Chordata, Mammalia, Artiodactyla, Phocoenidae.
AAGGCAAAUUAUCACUAGGCAGAUUGUCAUUCAAAUGAAUGACAAAGAGACAACUUCAUGUUAAAAUUUGUAGGAUGCAACCGAAGCUUUACUGAGGGAAUUUAACUUCUUUCAGUAUAUGUAGAAAACAGGGAAAAUUCAAAGCGAGGAUUCAUUCUCACUUCCUUAUACUUAGUGCACUGCCUAUUCCUGGUAGGUUCCCAGUAAACAUCUGUUGAUCAGAGGAAUGAGAGAGUGAAUGAAUAAGCAUCCAACUGUAGUAUGUUGAGAUGCUCUAACAAAAUAAGUGCAAAGCCCAAGAAAACACCUUAAACUUUUUGAAGUGAAAAAGAUUGCACCCUAGAAAGAAAAAACUCAAGCAUCAUAAGUGACAAAGGAUAUGUAACUACAGAAAUGAAGGCGAUGGAGAAAUAAGCCAAUAUUGUUUGGCUGACACUGUUGGUUGCCUGUCCAUUGGUAUUAACCAUUCUCCCUUUGCCAGGAUUGCCUGCUGCCCACCUAAGUCUAAACGCCAGAUGCUUGCCCUCUAAUUGCUUUGCUGCUGGGCAUGUGUGUAACAGUCCCGGCCAUAGAAGAUCUAAGCAAAAAGUCUGCAGGUGAGCUUCAGUUAAAUAUUGUUUACUAACAAAAUAGGAGGAAAUGGUCUUCCUAUAAACAGGAUGCAUGUCUCUGUGUCUGUGUGAUACCUGGAAUUAUGGCCAUUUUACAACCAGGGGAGGCGAGAAACUGAGAUUGGCACAGGAAUAACUUGUGUCUUUGACAUUAUUGAGAUGAUGAAACAAUUCAGAACUGCCCUGUGCCCGGACGGGUGUGAACUAAGAAAUUCUGUGCCUAUCUGUUUUAAGUUUAUAUUCAACUUUAUAUAUCCGAGUCCUGGAAAAAAAUAUUUUCCUAUACAUACACGUUUAUUCUACUUUAGUAAGAUGAGAAAAUGUUUAUAUUCAGCUUUUUAUAGUGUAUGUGAAAUUAUAGAAAAAGCAUUAUUUUCUUAAACGUAUAUGUGUGUGUAUAUAUAUACAACUUUGAUUUGUUAAGAUGUAGGAAAUGUCUGUUUGCAUUUAGCGUCUCACAGUAUAUGUUUAUAUGCAGUUUUUUUUUUUUUUUUUUUUUUGCGUUAUGCGGGCCUCUCACUGCUGUGGCCUCUCCCGUUGCGGAGCACAGGCUCCGGACGCGCAGGCUCAGCGGCCAUGGCUCACGGGCCCAGCCGCUCCGCGGCAUGCGGGAUCCUCCCGGAUCGGGAUACGAACCCGCGUCCCCCGCAUCGGCAGGCGGACUCCCAACCACUGCGCCACCAGGGAAGCCCGCAGUUUUUUUAAGUAUGUCUGAAAUCCAGGAAAAGUAGUAGUUUCCUGAAUAUAGUAAGAACCAAGAAAAAACUAAUUAAAGAGCUACACCAUAUAAUUCCUCUAGUACUAGAGUAGAUAAAAUCUAAGAGUAUCAGCUAUGAGGCUAACACAACCCCUAUACCAAAUUUGGAAAAGGACAGCAUCCAGCUCAAAUCAGCUAUAAAAAGAAUCCAUUGUACUCAAUGGAAUAUGAGUAUUCCAAUUAAAAUAGCAAGUCAAAUCUAGCAGCCUAUUAAAAGAAAACAGAGGGGUUGUUUUGUCUAGAAUAAAAUGGUUCAUGACCUGAUCUGUCAGAUUGUAAAAAAUGUGAUGUAUAAAUGUAGUGUUUGCACGCUGAAAACUAGACACUAAAACAACUUAUCCACUGAAAGUAGUAAACUGUUAGCAGCAUAUGCAUAUUCACCUGCUGUGAGGUCACUGCAUUGCCCUGUUAAUCACACCUCAUGGGGUGUAAUCAGUCACAGCAUUUGGAAUAAUCACCAUCCGGUGUAUUCCACCUUUGCCCCACACUUUAGAAAAAUAUUACAUACUAAGUUUAAUGUAAACAUGUAUUAUGUGACAGAUUAAAUCGGUCAUAGCUAAAAAUCAACCCAUUGGAGGACAAUUUAUAACAAAAAUUUGAGCAUUUUUUUUAAAGAGGGAAAUGAUUACUAAAUUUUAUCUAUAUUUUCUCUACAAUUUCUAACAUUUUUUGAGUUAUAAUAAAUGUUAUAAUUAUAAUGAAUGUCAAGAAAUGAUUCUCUGUAGACUGGAGGUUGCCAAGGGGGAGGGGGAUGGGAGAGGGGUGGAUUGGACGUUCGGGAUUAGCAAAUGCAAACUGGUAUAUAUAGAAUGGAUAACAACAAGGUCCUACUGUAUAGCACAGGGAACUAUAUUCAAUAUCCUGUGAUAAACCAUAAUGGAAAAGAAUAUGAAAAAAUAUAUGUAUAACUGAGUCACUUUACAGCAUUAAUUAACACAACAUUGUAAUUGAACUAUACUUCAAUAAAUUUU